UUGCACGCUGGCGGCAUGCCUUACACAUUCCAGUCGAACGGCAGCACGGGUGCUUGCACCUGGUGGCGAGUGGCGAACGGGUGAGUAAUACAUCGGAACAUGUCCUGUAGUGGGGGAUAGCCCGGCGAAAGCCGGAUUAAUACCGCAUACGAUCUACGGAUGAACGCGGGGGACCUUCGGGCCUCGCGCUAUAGGGUUGGCCGAUGGCUGAUUAGCUAGUUGGUGGGGUAAAGGCCUACCAAGGCGACGAUCAGUAGCUGGUCUGAGAGGACGACCAGCCACACUGGGACUGAGACACGGCCCAGACUCCUACGGGAGGCAGCAGUGGGGAAUUUUGGACAAUGGGCGAAAGCCUGAUCCAGCAAUGCCGCGUGUGUGAAGAAGGCCUUCGGGUUGUAAAGCACUUUUGUCCGGAAAGAAAUCCUUGGCCCUAAUACGGUCGGGGGAUGACGGUACCGGAAGAAUAAGCACCGGCUAACUACGUG
This 485-nucleotide ribosomal RNA is filed under the name uncultured bacterium. RNAcentral's name for it is "partial 16S ribosomal RNA". It matches the Rfam family "Bacterial small subunit ribosomal RNA", at positions 30 to 507 of the family's 1533-position model. The record is from RNAcentral.